UUGUAAUGCAAAUCUUUCUAACAUCACAGCAUUCUGCAUUCCCAAAAUGGAAGUUCAUCUUAAUGGAAUUGUUGCAGUGAGCAUAAUAUUUAAUGAAACAAAUAUUAUCACAAGACAGCUUACAGAUGGUUUUCAAGGAUUAAAUGGAUUUAAGAGCCUUAAUGUAUCUGGACCAUGGAAAAAUGGCAACAUUAUUUUCGAAGUGGAUAUCAGUGUCAUAUUUCCAACUGAUAAACUUACAGAAAUAUUAAGGUCCAUGGAAACAAGAAUUGGCUACUCUGCCAACAUAUCUGUUGAAACAUCAGGAAUUGUGAACAUCCUUUAUCCAAAGGACAUGGUAGAUUACAACUCAACUCAAAUGUUGAACUGCACAAUUAACAAUGAAAAUUACGGCUCCUGGAAUUGGGACUUCAUUGCAGGAAAUAAUACCUACGUUCUGAAUAAUGGAACCAGCAUUACCAUCACAUCCACGGCAGCUUGUACCACAGUCCAAAUUAACAGUUUGUCAGGAAUGUGGGCAGAAGGGAUUUAUAAGUGUGGAUUUUCCAGUGGGUCCAUUGUGCAUGCAGCCACUGCAGAGCUGAAGGUAGCCCUGCUACCCGAUACGAUCUCCAUGACGAGCGACCCACUGACAGUCGAAUGCCCAAAGGAUGUUAUGGUCAAUGCAACCAUUCAAAACAGCCCUGAGAAUUACACUGUAACGUGGACAUUAAACCAAGUACCAGUUACAUCCCAAACACCAUCAGUCCAAACAGAUGGACAAAUCACCUACCGCCUAAAUUCAAAGAUAACAUGCCAACAACCAUCUACAAAUGCUAUUAUUAUCACUGUAAAUUUUAUGAACCAGAAGAACAAGAACAAGACUCAAAAUAUAAUUAUCCCAGUGAUUGAUGAUAAUGUCCAGGUUUGUCAGGAAGACUCUCCUUGGCCAAAAACUCCAAAAGGCUUCACUUUAGUAAUCCAACAAUGUGAGAUUGGGAGAGUGGGGUAUCAAGAACGGA
This is a long non-coding RNA of Esox lucius (northern pike), 1001 nucleotides long. The record is from Ensembl. NCBI's taxonomy places the organism in Eukaryota, Metazoa, Chordata, Actinopteri, Esociformes, Esocidae.